AAGUGUGGGUGCUGGGAUCUGAACCCCAGUCUUCUGGUAAAGCUGUAAACACUUUUAACCCAGGCCUCCAUCCUCACCAUUGGUUUUUAAAAUAAUAAGUACUGAUUUCUCCCAGUGAGAACGUACCGCAGUGCAUUAGUAAAUAACCAAAGGAUGCGCAUUGUGCCCGCAAGGAUUAUGGGUGAGGGUUUGUAUGCUGUAAGGCAGUGGUUCUCAACCUUCCUAGUGCUGUGAUCGUUUAAUACAGCUCCUCAUGUGCUGAUCCCCAACCAUACAAUUAUUUUUGUUACUACUUCAUAACUAAUUUUGCUACUGUAAUAAAUUACAGUACAAAUAUCAGUGGUUUCUGAUAGACAGGGGACCGCUGUAUUGAGAACUGCUGUUGUAGAGGAUAGUGGUGCAAGGAACAUUAUUUGAAAUUAUCGUGGUAAACAUGGGCAUCAGGAAUGUAGUUACGGUGAUGGGCCUAAACACUGUUGGCACUAUUAAUAAAGUCCAUGUCUUCAUAAGCAAUCAGUCUACAGUGUCUAGAAGCAAUGGCUGACGGUGUUUUAUCUCCUGUAUAUUUAUUUGGACGUGAGACUAGGAUAUGUCAGAAACAGAAAUCAUUACUAAGUGGCCCUGUAAUAUUUUACCUAUCCUUUUAUUCUGGACAAAGUAUGAUUUAUGAUUGAGGAUGUCUCAUUUUGUAAGGAAAUUUCUAGAAUACUGAAGUAUCCCUCAGCACUAGUUUAGAGAGGUCAUCUUGUGGCUGUAAUUUUUGUAAAUACAGACUAGAGUUAAAAAUAAAGUCCCCAUGUGUGAAUG
Molecule: long non-coding RNA, 807 nt
Filed under: Rattus norvegicus (Norway rat)
Lineage: Eukaryota; Metazoa; Chordata; Mammalia; Rodentia; Muridae
Description: long non-coding RNA NONRATT013912
Source: RNAcentral